Phasianus colchicus (ring-necked pheasant) is the source of this 2836-nucleotide long non-coding RNA. RefSeq lists it as uncharacterized. The record is from RefSeq and is a predicted model, not a curated record. Lineage: Eukaryota; Metazoa; Chordata; Aves; Galliformes; Phasianidae.
CUAUGAUUCUGUGAUCCCACAUCUACAGAAAUACAAAUAUAAAGCAGAAGUGGACUCGGAAUCUCUGCAAAGCCGUGACAGAUUCAACCACUGAGGCGAUUUAUGUGGCUGCAAAGCCACAGGCAGUGCUGGAUAUCCCAUUGGAAACAGCUGCAAUAAAAGCAGUGUCCCCUAAGGCAGGUGGAGCUGCCCGGGAUGCAUCUGUCUGAAGCCUCCUGCCAGCCCACACCAAGCAGCUCCAGCAACGAGCCUCUCCAUGGCCGCUGGGAUACGAGCUGUGUUUCUCCAUCCCUCCAGGGCUCUCCAAAGCACCUGGAAAUGUUCGGACUGUUCUGCAAACACAUUUGGGAGCUAACAUGGCCACGCAGCCCCCUCCCUCACCCUGGGGCAAGGUGUGAGGAGAAAGGACUGGAAACUGUGCCGUGGCUCCUGCUGUCACAGCCCAGCCCUUCAUGGCUGCUGCCCUCCCAAAAUCACAGAGCACACCUGAAAAACACCCCCACACCAAAAGCAUCGUUUUGAUAUGAUGUAUUUAUAUUUACAUGGUACAUUUUAAAGCAAUAGCUACACGGAUCAUACAUAUUAGAAACAAUAAAAAAAGAAGUUAAGAACUAAAAUGUACAUCAUACACUUGUAUAUAUAUUUUUUACACAGAGGUAAAAAGGCUUAUAAAAAUCAAUACAACAGGGUUUUAACUUUUAGUAUAUAGAUACAAUAAUGAUGAGGCUUCAGGCACUUUAAUUUGUUAAUGUGAGCGAUAGCUUGAAAAAACAAACAUUUUUCAUGACAGAAAACAAAAUUUGGUUAAUGUUUUGUUACCACAGAUACAAAAAUAAAAUCUGAAUAAUUUCUCUCGAAUGAUUGAUGUCAGUAUUGCAAAGCUGACUGGGAGAACGCUACACACUGUUCAGCAGCAGUGUGGAAAGUAAGGAGGAAUAUUUACAAAAAACACCCAUUUCUAUCAUUGUGCCCUUACACCACUGCCUUCACAAACCAAAUAACACACGCGGCAAAAAUCUACAAGUAUUACAAAAACCCAACAGGAAAAGAGGGAGGAAGAAGGAGGGAGGAAAAACUGAAGAAAAAAAAAGAAAAAAAAAAGGGAUUUUUUUAUUAUUAUUUUUUAUUUUUAUUUCCAGACAUACAGAAAGGCUUAGAGUAUGUCUACUUCACUUAAAUAAAUAGGGGCACUUCAAGACCGGACAAAAAACUGUAAGAUCUCUUUUGUAGUGUUGUGCUUUAUAGAGAGAAGAUCUUACAGAUGUUUGUUUACAUGAAACAACUCGGAGAACAGAAAUAAAAGGAAAAGGUUGUUCCAUAAAAUUGUUUUCGAGGCUGGCUUGAUGUUUACUAGACACCAUUGAGAGAUUUGUCAACUGCUAUUAGGCACAAAAUAUUUAUAUUUCAUUCAGCAAACCCAGACACAUCACCGAGAGUGUAACACUCCAUCCCUUUUGCAUUAUCAUUCUUUUUCUUUUCCAACCAAAAGAUCCCCAGCAACUGCUACAAAUUAAGCCUACCGAACUCUAUAGUGUAUAAGCACGUUGCAUACUUAGUUCAUGGUCUAUUAAAAAGCUGUGAUUAACUCUCAGAGGAACCGUUGGGACAUUCCACCAAGAAAAAAUGGCAAGCGUUCCUUUUACAUUUAUUUGGCAAAAAAAAAAAGAAAAAAAAGAAAAAAGAAAAAAAGAAAAAAAAUCCUCUCUUUUAAGACUGAUGUCAAUGUGCAAUAGAGGGAGGGAAAGGACAUGCGCUCACUGGCAAUUUACUGCAGAAAGAAAUUAUGGCAGGAACAGCAGUGCCAGCUUUGACAAGCCAAUCCCUAGCUGCCUCAAAGUAUUCAGAUUGUACUAUGCUAGUUAGAGCUCACUGCGCUAAAUCAUUUUUUUUUUUAAUAAAAAUUAUUUGGCUAUUCCUGUAAUAUAUUAGAAAAAUACUCUUUUUUUUCCAGCUAAUUACAAGCCUUGUACACAAGACAACAUGACAUUUAAAAAAAAUUAAAGUAAUUUUAUCCCGCUGUAUGCACCUUAUGCAUCCACUUGAUAAAUCUGGGUGGUGAACUAGGGAGGGGAAAGUGAGGGAGACGCUUCGGUCUGGCUCCUGCAAAGACUCCUGUGAUUAAUCCUAUACAAAGAAUUACACAAAUGCUGGUUGCAUAUGCAUUACAUUGGACAUCUGUAAGCAUCCGGAGAAUCAGAACCGUAGGUCAGGAAAUGAAAGUGGUGGUUAACAUCCUGGCUUUUGAUUUUCAAUACCUGUUUAGACUGCUGAAUGUAGUUUCUACCGUGAACGCACGUGUUCUCGUGCUCACGUAUUAUACAGAAAAAAAUAAACAAAUACUAUUUUCCAUAUAAUCCACCACUUAAUGCAGCAUUUCCCCAGAAUUGCCAUGGAUUGCAAUAGUGCUUUUGACAUUGCAUUGUUAAUAAUUCUUUGCAUAACAACAAUUUUCCUCAUCCGGAACUGUAGUGUUUUAUACUCAAAUCAUUACAUGGCUGUCUAAAGAAAAAGUUCCCUUCUUUUGGGCAGAACUCUGAAAACAGAGUUUUAUUUUUCCAAAGUUAUUUAGGGAAAAAAGAAAACAGUAACAUGUAAAGUUUCCCUUUCAAGUAGUGGUCUGAAAUGAUUACAGGUAAGGAGAACUACCAGAUUCUCAAUGGUUAUGUGACUAUGGUAACUGAGCUUUGAUUUCUGAUCACAGAGCUUUAAGAACAGAGAAAUAAUUUAAGAUGUUUGCUGAAGGAAAUGACGAUGGACUCUAGAAGAGAAACUGCAGCUUACAUGGCUAUUUUGGCUUUGGAAAACAGAACAAAAAAAAAAACAAAACAAAAGAAAA